Non-coding RNA from Vicia faba (fava bean), 216 nucleotides. Lineage: Eukaryota; Viridiplantae; Streptophyta; Magnoliopsida; Fabales; Fabaceae. The record is from the annotation of a GenBank genome assembly.
AUGAGCGGAGGGCGGCCAAUUGUGGUUUCAGUGAUGUUGAUGCUUUUCUUUGCCUUUCUGUUGAUUUCUUCUGUAACAACAAAACAGUUAAAGAAAGUAAUAAUUGCAGGAUAUGAUAUUAUUGAUAAUGGAAACUGCUUUUAUUUUGCUGCAAAUUUGUUGUUAGUAAAAGUCAUUAUAAAAUACAUGUUUAUGGUUUAUUGCAGGUUUUUAUGA